GAUGAACGCUGGCGGCGUGCCUAAUACAUGCAAGUCGAACGAGACCUUCGUGUCUAGUGGCGAACGGGUGAGUAACACGUUGGUACCUGCCUCGAAGUGGGGGAUAACUGCCCGAAAGGGUGGCUAAUACCGCAUAAUACCGCAAGGUUAAAGCAGUAAUGCGCUUCGAGAGGGGCCUGCGUCCCAUUAGCUUGUUGGUAGUGUAAUGGACUACCAAGGCGACGGUGGGUAGCUGGAUCGAGAGGUUGACCAGCCACACUGGGACUGAGAUACGGCCCAGACUCCUACGGGAGGCAGCAGUAAGGAAUCUUCCACAAUGGACGAAAGUCUGAUGGAGCAACGCCGCGUGCAGGAUGACGGCCUUCGGGUUGUAAACUGCUUUUAUAUGGGAAGAUUAUGACGGUACCAUAUGAAUAAGCACCGGCUAACUACGUGCCAGCAGCCGCCGUAA
This 451-nucleotide ribosomal RNA is filed under the name uncultured bacterium. RNAcentral's name for it is "partial 16S ribosomal RNA". It matches the Rfam family "Bacterial small subunit ribosomal RNA", at positions 28 to 523 of the family's 1533-position model. The record is from RNAcentral.